Molecule: ribosomal RNA, 429 nt
Filed under: Gemmatimonadota bacterium
Lineage: Bacteria; Pseudomonadati; Gemmatimonadota
Description: Gemmatimonadetes bacterium partial 16S ribosomal RNA
Rfam family: Bacterial small subunit ribosomal RNA
Source: RNAcentral
UAGGGAAUCUUCGGCAAUGGACGAAAGUCUGACCGAGCAACGCCGCGUGAGUGAAGAAGGAUUUCGGAACGUAAAACUCUGUUGUUAGAGAAGAACAAGGACGUUAGUAACUGAACGUCCCCUGACGGUAUCUAACCAGAAAGCCACGGCUAACUACGUGCCAGCAGCCGCGGUAAUACGUAGGUGGCAAGCGUUGUCCGGAUUUAUUGGGCGUAAAGCGAGCGCAGGCGGUUUCUUAAGUCUGAUGUGAAAGCCCCCGGCUCAACCGGGGAGGGUCAUUGGAAACUGGGAGACUUGAGUGCAGAAGAGGAGAGUGGAAUUCCAUGUGUAGCGGUGAAAUGCGUAGAUAUAUGGAGGAACACCAGUGGCGAAGGCGGCUCUCUGGUCUGUAACUGACGCUGAGGCUCGAAAGCGUGGGGAGCAAACAGG